UACGGGGGGGGCUAGCGUUGUUCGGAAUUACUGGGCGUAAAGGGCGCGCAGGCGGCUGCUCAAGUCAGGCGUGAAAGGCCUGGGCUCAACCCGGGAAUUGCGCUUGAGACUGGGCUGGCUUGAGUGCGGGAGAGGACGGUGGAAUUCCCAGUGUAGAGGUGAAAUUCGUAGAUAUUGGGAAGAACACCGGUGGCGAAGGCGGCCAUCUGGACCGCAACUGACGUUGAGGCGCGAAAGGGUGGGGAGCAAUCAGG
This 254-nucleotide ribosomal RNA is filed under the name uncultured bacterium. RNAcentral describes it as "partial 16S ribosomal RNA". It matches the Rfam family "Bacterial small subunit ribosomal RNA", at positions 524 to 776 of the family's 1533-position model. The record is from RNAcentral.